CACUCUGGAAAGCGGGUAGCCCUCAUGGGCUGCCCCACCGACGGGGGUAAUCGCGGGAUGGCGCAUGGCGCCGUCCAGGCGGGAAAUCUCUCAGGUCCACAGACAGAGGG
Molecule: non-coding RNA, 110 nt
Filed under: Hyphomicrobiales bacterium
Lineage: Bacteria; Pseudomonadati; Pseudomonadota; Alphaproteobacteria; Hyphomicrobiales
Description: Glycine
Rfam family: Glycine riboswitch aptamer
About the family: This family represents the bacterial glycine riboswitch. Glycine riboswitches usually consist of two metabolite-binding aptamers domains with similar structures in tandem.
Source: RNAcentral